AGCAGUCGCCACGGGAAUACGGAGGGUGCAAGCGUUAAUCGGAAUUACUGGGCGUAAAGCGCACGCAGGCGGUCUGACAAGUCAGAUGUGAAAUCCCCGGGCUUAACCUGGGAACUGCAUUUGUGACUGUAUAGCUAGAGUACGGCAGAGGGGGAUGGAAUUCCGCGUGUAGCAGUGAAAUGCGUAGAUAUGCGGAGGAACACCGAUGGCGAAGGCAAUCCCCUGGGCCUGUACUGACGCUCAUGCACGAAAGCGUGGGGAGCAAACAGGAUUAGAUACCCCAGUAGUCCCUGUCUCUUAUAC
This 303-nucleotide ribosomal RNA is filed under the name uncultured bacterium. RNAcentral describes it as "partial 16S ribosomal RNA". It matches the Rfam family "Bacterial small subunit ribosomal RNA", at positions 507 to 807 of the family's 1533-position model. The record is from RNAcentral.